AACCCUGUACACUUAGAAUAUUUUACAAUUUUCCCCCAAACCUAAAUCCAAACCCUUGUUUUCAUCGAUCACCACUGCACCUCCAUCGCCAUCAUCCGUCGUUGCUGUCAGCCGCAUAUGAUUCAGGCACCGGCACGGAGACGCUCUGAGACGGAGACGGAGACAGAGACGCCACCAACCACGAAGUAGCAGAAAGAUUUAUAGGCACAUCAGCUUAUCCGAAUUCUAGAUCAAUCCUAUCGAUUUUGAACAAAUGCAACCACGCAUUUAUCAAUAUGACUGAUCCUUCAUUCAUUGUUCCAUUUUAUCAUGCUUUUAAUGGCAAGAAAUGGGAAAAGUUCAACAGUGAAAAGGUGGCAUCACUUGCAUAUGUUCGCAUCCAGGGAAAAGCUGCCCUUAUUGCUCACUUCCAGAAUUCUAGCUUGAUGAAUGAAGAUAAGAUGUAGUAUGCUGAAUUGUAGUAUGCUAUUGGGCUUCAUGGCUUACUACUCUAUAACCCCAUAUCAAAAAAUAUAUAAAACAGAGCUACAAUGUGUUCCUAGUAGCUUUGACUCUGUGGAAGAGUAUGUUUUUGCAUAGGCUGCUUGUGGACUGAACAUUAAAUUACCGAAGGAAAAGAUUGAAGAUAUUGAUGCCGGAGAUGUGUACAAUGAGUUGGCAGUUGUGGGGUAUGCAGAAAACAUUUAAAAGUUCUACAAGGAAGCUGAGUGGCAUUAUAUAGAGGAUGCAAUGUGUUUUGUUUUGCUUGGGCCUUGAGGAAGAGAAAACUAGAAAGUAGGCAAAGCAUGACUGGUAGAUUGAUAAAUGCCAUCCAUCCCACAUGGUAGUUGCUAAUUGGGAGCAUUUGUAUUCAUAUUAGGAAAGUAUUGCCAAUGCAUUGAUUUUACUCUACUUGAAUAGACUCUAGUAUGCCAUUUUAGUGUUUCCUGUCUAGCAAGUUGCCAUUUUAGUGUUUCCUGUCUAGCUUUUCUGUACUAUAACC
Long non-coding RNA from Ipomoea nil (Japanese morning glory), 982 nucleotides. RefSeq lists it as uncharacterized. The transcript is spliced from 5 exons. The record is from RefSeq and is a predicted model, not a curated record. NCBI's taxonomy places the organism in Eukaryota, Viridiplantae, Streptophyta, Magnoliopsida, Solanales, Convolvulaceae.